Long non-coding RNA from Amphiprion ocellaris (clown anemonefish), 1011 nucleotides. RefSeq lists it as uncharacterized. The transcript has 2 exons. The record is from RefSeq and is a predicted model, not a curated record. Lineage: Eukaryota; Metazoa; Chordata; Actinopteri; Pomacentridae.
UCAAGGACUGCUGUUGCCAUGGAGACUAGGGGGUUGUUUGUCCUGCAGUGUUUAGGUGGUGGUACAUGUCAAACAUCCACAUGAAUGUCAAGGUUUCCCAGCAGAACGUUGCAUUAGAACAAGAUGAUGGAUGUUGUUCUCUUCAGCUGUCAGUGGUCAGAAUGUUGUGGCUGAUCGGUGGAUCUGUCUGCCUUUACUCUGACAUCCAGAGUUAUACAAAAGUGUAGUAUGUGUGCAGUGCAGAAGAGAUUUACUUUGUUGUAUGCAGUUUUAGUGGUCCCAUCAGAGAAAAUCAUAUCCAUAUACAGGUUUUUAUUAAUUCCAGGGCUGGUUCAGUAAAGAUUAUAUUUAGAGGUAGACCGAUAUAUCGGCCGGCCGAUAUUUUGGGCCGAUAUAUGGACUUUUUUCAAUAUCGGCCAUCGGCCGAUAUUUACAAAUAAAAAGCCGAUUUGUGAUCAGGCACCCGUGCGGGCAGCUGCCGCGACCGCUUUUCCCUUAGAAGGACCCCCGGCACUCAGAGAGCGGAGCAUGAGCGGAGCGAGUGAGCCAGGCAACAACAAGCCUCGCUCCACACCUGCUUAUUUGGUAAAAAAAAAAAAAAAACAGAUGCACAAUGAGGGACGUCUGCAGCGACUGAGAAAGAGUCUCACCACAUCCUGACAUGAGGAAAAAGACUUUAUUGAAGACUACAAUGAGAAAAACUAUCAGACAGCAGACGGCUGCAUUCAAGGUGAGCUCUGAACAUUUGAUCUGGAACAGGAAUUCAAUAACUGCAGCAUGAGCUUCAUUUCAGUCUGUAGCUGCUGAAUUCAUGGAUGAAUCAUCUGGCACUAGAGAGGAAGACGAUCAAACAUCCACGUCAGCUGAUGGAGGUCCAAGAGUCUUACCAAACAAACAACCUACAGAGUGAAGACCUCAAAUCUGAUUGGACGGCCUCCUAUUCAGCCACAUGUGUGAACAAAUGUCUCUAAGUUGAUUUGUUUUUUAAAAUAAAUCUAGUUUGAGUCCUAA